Molecule: long non-coding RNA, 246 nt
Organism: Neltuma alba
Lineage: Eukaryota; Viridiplantae; Streptophyta; Magnoliopsida; Fabales; Fabaceae
Exons: 4
Source: RefSeq, a predicted model, not a curated record
AAGCUCAUUUUCACAACCUACAAAGUUAGAGUCCUUAGAUUUGUCAUUUAAUGACUUGUCGGGAUCAGUACCUGAAUUUUUAGCUGAACUACUAAAAUUGAGAGUACUUAACUUGACUGGCAACAAGCUUACAGGUUCCAUUCCCAAGGCUCUCAAGGAAAAGGCAGAUUUGAUAUUGAGUUUGGAGGAUAAUCCAGGCCUUUGUCCGGAGGAUUCGUGCAAGAAGCAGAAGUUUGUCAUUUCACU